This 301-nucleotide ribosomal RNA is filed under the name uncultured bacterium. Its description in RNAcentral is "partial 16S ribosomal RNA". It matches the Rfam family "Bacterial small subunit ribosomal RNA", at positions 509 to 809 of the family's 1533-position model. The record is from RNAcentral.
CAGUAGCCGCGGUAAUGCGAAGGGUGCAAGCGUUAAUCGGAAUUACUGGGCGUAAAGCGUGCGUAGGCGGUUUGUUAAGUCUGUUGUGAAAUCCCCGGGCUCAACCUGGGAAUGGCAAUGGAUACUGGCAAGCUAGAGUGUGUCAGAGGAUGGUGGAAUUCCCGGUGUAGCGGUGAAAUGCGUAGAGAUCGGGAGGAACAUCAGUGGCGAAGGCGGCCAUCUGGGACAACACUGACGCUGAGGCACGAAAGCGUGGGGAGCAAACAGGAUUAGAUACCCGCGUAGUCCCUGUCUCUUAUAA